Molecule: transfer RNA, 69 nt
Filed under: Raneya brasiliensis (banded cusk eel)
Lineage: Eukaryota; Metazoa; Chordata; Actinopteri; Ophidiiformes; Ophidiidae
Description: tRNA-Ala
Rfam family: tRNA
About the family: Transfer RNA (tRNA) molecules are approximately 80 nucleotides in length.
Source: RNAcentral
GAGGCUUUAGCUUAAUUAAAGUGUCUGUUUUGCAUGCAGGAGAUGUGAGGUAGUGUCUCGCAAGCCUUA